RNAcentral lists this long non-coding RNA (213 nucleotides) under Bos indicus x Bos taurus (hybrid cattle). Its description in RNAcentral is "lncRNA (ENSBIXG00000004915.1)". The record is from RNAcentral. Lineage: Eukaryota; Metazoa; Chordata; Mammalia; Artiodactyla; Bovidae.
GUUUUGAUUAUUACACGUAAAAUUUAUUUGUAUUUUUCCUUGUCUCUUCAUAGGCACUGGUUUGCUCUGUCUUUUUGAGGAAAAUUAAGGUGAUUCCCUGCCCCUGUCCCCCAUCAAAAUUUAUCCCUGGAAGCCUGAUGAACCAGUUAGGAGAAUCUGGAGUUUCUCUGUUGCUCUCCUGAUCUCCUCUCCCUAAGGCUGUUGAGGCCAAAU